Molecule: ribosomal RNA, 377 nt
Filed under: uncultured Chloroflexota bacterium
Lineage: Bacteria; Bacillati; Chloroflexota
Description: bacterial SSU rRNA
Rfam family: Bacterial small subunit ribosomal RNA
Source: RNAcentral
UAAUACGUAGGUCACAAACGUUGUCCGGAAUUAUUGGGCGUAAAGGGUCCGUAGGCGGUUCGGUAAGUCUCCUGUGAAAUCUUCAGGCUCAACUUGAAGAGGUCGGGGGAUACUGCUGAACUUGAGACUGAUAGAGGCAAGUGGAAUUCCCGGUGUAGUGGUGAAAUGCGUAGAUAUCGGGAGGAACACCAAUGGCGAAAGCGGCUUGCUGGGUCAGUUCUGACGCUGAGGGACGAAAGCGUGGGUAGCAAACCGGAUUAGAUACCCGGGUAGUCCACGCCGUAAACGAUGAAUGCUAGGUUUUCGGGGUAUCGACCCCCUGGGAGCCGCAGUUAACGCGAUAAGCAUUCCGCCUGGGGACUACGGUCGCAAGACUA